UUACCNNAUNNUUANNAACUUUAAAAAUUUAAAACUCAAAGAACUUGGCGGUGUUUUAGACCACUUAGGGGAACCUGUCUCGUAAUCGAUAGUCCACGUUGUAUCUGACCUUUUUUUGUUUUCAGUUUGUAUACCGUUGUCGUCAGGUAACUUUUUAGAGAUUAGAAGUUAGCAAUAGAAAUGUGAUAAUUUAGUACGUCAAAUCAAGGUGCAGCUAAUAAGAAGGGGAGGAUGGGUUACAGUUAUGUGAUUUAUAAUACGGAAAAAUGCAUGAAAUAGCAUUAAUUUAAGGCGGACUUGAAAGUAAAUUAAAUUAUAUGAAUAAUUUGAAUGAGGCUCUGAAACGUGU
Molecule: ribosomal RNA, 349 nt
Filed under: Myurellopsis columellaris
Lineage: Eukaryota; Metazoa; Mollusca; Gastropoda; Neogastropoda; Terebridae
Description: partial 12S ribosomal RNA
Source: RNAcentral